RNAcentral lists this non-coding RNA (139 nucleotides) under Intrasporangium calvum. RNAcentral's name for it is "FMN sequence". It matches the Rfam family "FMN riboswitch aptamer (RFN element)". From Rfam's summary of the family: The RFN element is a highly conserved domain that is found frequently in the 5'-untranslated regions of prokaryotic mRNAs that encode for flavin mononucleotide (FMN) biosynthesis and transport proteins. This element is a metabolite-dependent riboswitch that directly binds FMN in the absence of proteins. In Bacillus subtilis, the riboswitch most likely controls gene expression by causing premature transcription termination within the 5' untranslated region of the ribDEAHT operon and precluding access to the ribosome-binding site of ypaA mRNA. RNAcentral also lists the same sequence under 1 other name. The record is from RNAcentral. Lineage: Bacteria; Bacillati; Actinomycetota; Actinomycetes; Micrococcales; Intrasporangiaceae.
UACGUGCUCCGGGGUCGGUGUAAUUCCGAACCGGCGGUGAUAGUCCGCGACCCGACCGCUCAUCAGCUUCACGAGCGGCCGGUUGACCUGGUGGAACUCCGGGACCGACGGUGAAAGUCCGGAUGGGAGGCAGCACGAA